GACGCCGAUCUAAAAACAGGCGUAUUUUCAAAAUGUUACGAAAAAAUAACAAACACAAAUCACGAGAUGUUUAAACCGGCAUUUAAGCCGGUCCAGAUUUGUAGGCAUAAAUUUCCCCACCCAUUUAAAGUCUGGAUUUACACCAUCGCCGGCGAAUGUACGGUCAUUCCUACCUCAGUCCUCUUUAAAAACACACUUCUAUCGUCCGCCACGGGCCCAUAUCUUACUAAAAAAGUAAACUACGGGGCUUUUAAAAUUAUCGUUUAGCCAGGCUACGGUAGAUACCGAAGUUGUGGUAGGCCAUCUCCGGCAUCGACCACCACUCUAUCUCCCGAGUUCCACACCUUUACCCAGACUGGCAUUACGGGCGAUUGGCUUUCUAAUGGACACGGAAUCGUCCGUUUAGAGAGAAUUUGGGACCGAACACCAGCCAACCUGUUUAUGUAUAGAAAAAUUAUGUGGGAUUGGUAUACGGUAGGAUUUUAUCAAGCCCGACGGAAAAUAAUAAAAUAAAAUAUUGGCUCACCUACCGAAAGUUCUAUCUCCCAGUCCGAGCAUCUUCUAUCCGCUAUCGGCGGUCUGGGAUGGCCGUUACCUACCCUACACAAUAUUUACCCAUAAAAGACAUAUAGCGGGUUACGCGUAGCCAGAAAUGUGGCAUGGGGUCAACCAUCCAGUCCACCGUUAGAUCCGAACUGUCAGCGUCGGGUUUUUUCCGGCCACUGACCGUUAGCGCGGCGGAUUACGUACGCCGAGGCGCGUAUCUUAUCCCUAGCUGGGUAUUUGUUAAGGUUUUGUGGCUAGGGCCGUACGGGUUUCUAGCCAGGGAAAUCCCCGUACUAGGCCGAAGUGGCUAGUUUUAGUGGAGUAAGAUUACCCUUUCCUCGACCACAAUACGGGUAAUUCUCUAAAAUUACUCGGACAAGUUAAUUACCAAAAUAUUUAAUGGUCUACACCAAUCCGUGGUAAAAAAAUAAUACCGCGGUUUAAGAGUAAGUCGGGUGGCCUCCCGGCUCUUACUUACCAUCUACAUCCGGGACAUUUCUAAACUAUUAUCACCGCGGUAGCGCGUAACUGGAAGCGGACCUUUCCGGUUUUUCCGCUAUCCGGGAAUGGCUGGCCGCUAAUAAUUUAAUAAUUAAUGUUAGUAAAUCGAAAAUCUCGGGAUAACCGACAACUGGCUGCCUUCCUUUAAGCGGUAGCUGUUAGGAAGCCGAUUAUUUUCCAAUUCCCGAAGAAACUCGGUUAUUUUAUAUCCGGGAAUUGUGGGAAUUUAAAACGGUCCAGUUAACGGAAGUCGGCUCUUAGAGCCGCGUUAGAGGGAUGAUUUUCCGGCUGGCUACGGGAUAUACCGACAGAUAAGAGACGAAUAGGAAAAAAAUAAAUUUCCUCUAGAACCAGACGCUUUUCCGGAAAAUUCGGACGGGCCGAGUUUAGGACGGCCAACCGUUGGCCGGGUAAAAUUCACCCGGGCGGUGCCGAAAAAUAUUCCCCGAUAACAUUGUUGGCCAAAUUCGGACUCUAAUCCGCCAUCCAAAGGCGCGGAGCCCAUCUUUUCCUUCUUAUAAACGUCGGGCCGGGUGGAAGCGCGGAGAGAAAUCCGGCACAAGUUACAACUACACCUUUGGGAACGAGAACCGUAUACAGCCUAUUAUAUCGGAUGGAGACCGAUUAGAAGAAACCCGGUUUAGGGAGAGGGACACCUUCCGAGGAAACCGAGCGUUAAACGAAGCGGCCUUAAACCGGGUCGUCUGGAUACGUAAAGAAUGGGAAGAAGCGAACAGCCAAUAAAAAGUUUUUUAUUUUAUUUGGUCUCGCCUCUUAUUCGCUAUUGUAUAACGUCGCACUAAUUAUCGACAUUUUUUACGGAUUGGUGAAAAUCAAAAAUACCCGAGUAAAUAAUCUAGGCGGAAGAUCGACGCUUUUUUCGUUAGAAAGCGGCCCGACGUCAUUAGCCUUUUCCUCUUUCGGCCUUCGAACUUCUGUCAAAAUUUGCUUUAUUUUAUAUAAAGCUGGUUUAUAAUUUCCCCGACUAAACUCGUUUCCAGAAAAUACGUGGCAGGCUGGCGGCGGGCUCGGUGCGUACUGCGCGGCACUCGUAUCCAACGCGCGGCCAGACGGCGUACGAAUAUGAAAAAUUUCCGCCGUUUCGGAUUUACGCCAGUAUAACGGUUGGAAAAACCGCGCCAAAGUCGAUCGAUAAAAAACGCAAUUCGAAAAAUUCGGCGUUAUAUCGGAACUGCGUUAAACGGAGCGGCGUUUGGCGGGCUCUUACUAUAUACGUAUAUAUAAUCGGGUAAACGUACGGUGGCUCUCCAAACUGCAGCCACUCGACCCCAGGCCGGUAGUGUUUCGACAAAACGACUUAACCAAAAUUUUCUGCCGGGAAUGGGAAAUCCAUAAAGCGUCGUUUCGAAAAAAUCCGUUUUAAUCGACAGAAAAUAUGGCCGGGAGUGGAUCGAAAGUAUUCUCACCCUGGAAAUUAAUCGGACGUCGACCCACCCCGGCCCGCCGUCACCGCUUUCGGACCGUGGGCGGGACAGCCAUUUUAGACGGUGGUUCCGGCGGAAUCCAUCCCAUUCGCUCAAAUUUUUAGGAUGUGUGGGUACCAACCGUUUCCGGUCGGCCGAAAAUGUUCCGGACUGGGUUCCAUCCCCGCCGGAAGGUGGAUUUUAUUCCGGUCGGGGCGUGGUGGCCCGACGUGUCGGGGACGGUUAUCGGACUGGAACCACCCGUAAAUCGAAUUUUCUGGCCCAGGGUGACGGAUACCUUCGGACGGACGGAGAAUCCGUAGUCGGGUCCAUCUCCGGCGGCCUACUCCGCAGCUACGUCCGUAAGUGUUCCUCCUUCCCGCGCUUUGUCUUCCACUUCUUCCUUUCCACUGGACGCUAGACCCAGCCUUCUUUCGGAAUUAUUUCUCCGUUGUCCGGUCUUUCCAUCCGUCCUUAAAUUUCCUUAAGAAAAAUAAUAAUAACUAUCCAGGCGGGUAAUUUUUAUUUUCCAAAAAUGCGAAAUGGAAAAUAAGGCCAACCGGGGGAUCCCUCACCCCGGUGGCCCCACCACCCGUAAAUAACCAAUUUCUCUGCAGGCGCAGGCGCCAGCCCGCCAUAAUCGACCGUGUAAUGGCUGGAGGUGGCACGGCCAGGCACAUAUGUAUAUUAUUUACGUUAUAUACACGUAUAACUUCUAUACAGACGAUGGUCCCGGACAUUUUACACGGGUCGACGCCGAUCCGAAUACACCUAUUAAAUUACGGCGGCCGACGAAGGUUCGGACGGAAACGAAUACGGCCGUAGCCGGAAAAGGCCGACCCCUACCCAGCUACGGUUAACUAGUAUUUGGUGGCCAUAUUUUUCAAACUGGCCAAGUUAGGCGGCGCUGACCUCAGAAUUUGGGAGAAGACGGCAGUAAACCUUCCCAUAUAACUUCGAAAAUUUCUCGCCCCCUUCUUACUCUUCCGCCAUCCGUGGUUUCCGGGUGGAGAGGGAAAUGUACGUUUUAAGGGAGAAGCCGAGAGUCCGCCUCCCACCCACAGGCUCCGUUACCGGUGGACGGCCCUUUCCAGCGGUGGAAGUCCGGCCCGGGGCCGAUUUAAUUUCACCGGAGAAAAGUCGGUGCCGUCCGGCGGAACGGUAAGACCUAUAGCUACAUUCGGUCCCGAAUUGGCCGUCGGUUACCGAAAGAAGACGGUCCAGACCGCAGCUUUGGCUGCUUUGUACCGAGAUGGUACGCAUACCGGACACCAGGGACAUCCCUACCAAAGUUGGCUUUAUUCGGAGGGGCGGGAAGAAAUCCCACGGCCCGGGUUAAAGCCGAUAAUUCUUCCGAAUUUAAAGCCACCGAAAAGUUUCAGCUUUCCUUCCGGCCAGAACGGCCGAAGGAAAGAAGUGGCGCUGUUACCCCGCUGUCGCCCGGACGGUCCCCGGUCGGCGGCCCCAAAGCCAUACCGUAUUUACUUCGGGCCCUGUUUUCUGCGGUCGGUGCCCAGCUACGGCCCAACCGUCAUCUUCCACCCAUCGGAAAUGGCCGUUUCCACUCGUCCCGGCCAUAUUGUUUAUGGCCCGUUUCCUAUCUUAAUUCCUUUCGUAGCCCGCUUUGAAAGGAGUUAGUGAUAACCCUGCCUACCGCGCCCUCGGCUCCAUCCCCGGUUUGGUCAAACCGAAUAUUCUCACCUGGCCGGGACCGGGCGCCGACGGGAUUGACCGCUCUCUCCGGUUCCGAAUUACUAGCCAUAGUGGAGGCCGUACGUUAGUGGCCAUUAAACAAACCACCCUCUUUCGGAAGGGUCCGUUAUUUUUGACUAGUCGGUCCGUUCUGCCUUUCGGAAGGGAGAGGCGUAUGGUACAAAAUGAAGUCGAGCCGGAGAUGGGUCAGGGCCGGGUCUAACUUUUCAUCCUGGUCGGUAGAAAAAAAUGGCGCGUAGAAACCUCUUCCGUACCGACCGUCUACCGGCUACAAAAGAGAAAAAGGCGUGCUUUAGUCCGAUUGAAAAGAAGGAAGCCAGAAGUAGAAACGAAAGCGGAAAGAACGCUACAGCCCAUGAGUAUUUUCCUACCCGGUUUUUAUAGCCGAUUCCAAUGGCUUUUGGUCCGAUUGGAGAUACCUGUGGAGGUUAUUCUAGCGCCCUCUACUCGAGGUCGGCCCUCGAUGUUCUCUACGCGGUUUAGCUCAGCUUUCCAUCCGGAUACUAAGCGGCCGAACGGCCCACCUCUCUGCCGCGUCGAACGUUCUACGGAACAUGGAGUUCGACCGGGCCCAUCCGGACCCGUCUGGAAAAAAUAAAGUGGAGAGCGGGAAUCGAAUCCCAUACUCGGGGAUAGACCGAUCCCUUCCACCUCCGCCAUCCGGCCCAGGCAGCGGAUCGGCCCACCGUCAGAAAAAGUGGAGACGUAAAUUGUGGAAAGGCCGACCGAGAUAUCUGGGACGUUUUUUUUGUCAACACUUUCCAUUAAAUUAGAAUACUAAGUGACGGGGCGAAACAAGCCCUUCCACAGGCUGCCCACCCCUGCGG
RNAcentral lists this long non-coding RNA (5011 nucleotides) under Androctonus crassicauda. Lineage: Eukaryota; Metazoa; Arthropoda; Arachnida; Scorpiones; Buthidae. The record is from RNAcentral.